Molecule: ribosomal RNA, 801 nt
Filed under: uncultured Rubrobacter sp.
Lineage: Bacteria; Bacillati; Actinomycetota; Rubrobacteria; Rubrobacterales; Rubrobacteraceae
Description: bacterial SSU rRNA
Rfam family: Bacterial small subunit ribosomal RNA
Source: RNAcentral
AGAGUUUGAUCCUGGCUCAGGACGAACGCUGACGGUGUGCUUUAGGCAUGCAAGUCGAACGAGAAAGCCCUUCGGGGUGAGUAAAGUGGCGAACGGGUGAGUAACACGUGGGCAACCUGCCCCUCGCAGGGGGACAACCGGAGGAAACUCCGGCUAAUACCCCGUACGCUUGUUGGAUCGCAUGGUCCGGCAAGGAAAGGUAGCUUCGGCCAUCCGGCGAGGGAUGGGCCCGCGUUGCAUUAGCUAGUUGGUGGGGUAACGGCCUACCAAGGCGACGAUGCGUAGCUGGUCUGAGAGGAUGAUCAGCCACACUGGGACUGAGACACGGCCCAGACUCCUACGGGAGGCAGCAGCCAGGAAUCUUGGGCAAUGGGCGAAAGCCUGACCCAGCAACACCGUGUGGGUGACGAAGGCCUUAGGGUCGUAAAGCCCUGUUGAUAGGGACGAAGGGCGAAGGGUUAAUAGCCCCUAGCUUGACGGUACCUUUCGAGGAAGCCCCGGCUAACUACGUGCCAGCAGCCGCGGUAAUACGUAGGGGGCGAGCGUUGUCCGGAAUUAUUGGGCGUAAAGAGCGUGUAGGCGGUUCGGUAAGUCUGCUGUGAAAUCCUGGGGCUCAACCCUGGGCGUGCAGCGGAUACUGCCGGGCUAGAGGGUGGUAGAGGCGAGUGGAAUUCCGAGUGUAGCGGUGAAAUGCGCAGAUAUUCGGAGGAACACCAGUAGCGAAGGCGGCUCGCUGGGCCACACCUGACGCUGAGACGCGAAAGCGUGGGGAGCGAACAGGAUUAGAUACCCUAGUAGUCC